GGGAGAUGUCGGUGGCGGACGGGUGAGUAACGCGUAAAGAAUUUGCCCUUCAGACUGGGACAACUAACCGAAAGGUUAGCUAAUACCGGAUAUUAUGAGACCUUGGCAUCAAGGACUUAUGAAAGCUAUAUGCGCUGGAGGAGAACUUUGCGUCCCAUUAGGUAGUUGGUAGGGUAAUGGCCUACCAAGCCGACGAUGGGUAGCCGGCCUGAGAGGGUGAACGGCCACAAGGGGACUGAGACACGGCCCUUACUCCUACGGGAGGCAGCAGUGGGGAAUAUUGGACAAUGGACCAAAAGUCUGAUCCAGCAAUUCUGUGUGCACGAUGAAGGUCUUCGGAUUGUAAAGUGCUUUCAGGUGGGAAGAAGAAAGUGACGGUACCACCAGAAGAAGCGACGGCUAAAUACGUGCCAGCAGCCGCGGUAAUACGUAUGUCG
Molecule: ribosomal RNA, 437 nt
Filed under: uncultured Fusobacteriota bacterium
Lineage: Bacteria; Fusobacteriati; Fusobacteriota
Description: bacterial SSU rRNA
Rfam family: Bacterial small subunit ribosomal RNA
Source: RNAcentral